UUUGGCUGCGACCGUCUGCAAAAGGCCAGCCAUGGCGCUCUCCGGGCGGUGGAUGGGCCCGUACUCCCCGAUGAUUCGUCGUCGUCGCUCUCGUCGUCAUUGCAAACUUCUAUCCAACGAAUCUUUUUCCUUCUUCUGUGUUUUUUGUCUGAUCGAGAGAAACUCCUCGUCAUCAGCUGUAACGUCGAACCGUUCUCUUUUGGCGGUGGAUCCAAACGCGACGUGUUUUGGUACUUCCGCCUCUCUUGUAUCGGUACUAGUCCUGUGUAGCCUCUGCAAGCGGCGCACACGGAAAGCAUCAACCGUCUUCAUCACCCUCUCUUCCGAAGAGGGAUUGGUGAUUUUAGUGGACGUUUGUUCGUGGACAUACACACAUCUACCACCAACGAGUUGAGGUAGAGAACCUUGAUGAUAUUUUUCUCUUAUGGCAUGAAUGGCUAUCGAUUGGACUGCUGUGCGUGCUGACUUCUUGACAAGAAAAGCCUCUUUUAAGUGACAAGGCAGUAUCUUAUUACACGAACUUAAAUGUGUGGUUGAUUCUCUCUUUGUGGUUUUCUUCUUUAGUCAUUUAUCGCAAAUGGGAUAUGAGAAUCACUGACUGUGCCUCAUAGCUAUUGUUUCAAGAUAUUUAAGUAUUGCAGCCUGGUUGGUUCUGUUGAUGACAGAUGAUGAGAUUAAAGUUCAAUCAUAAACCAUAACACGUGAUUCGAACAUGAAAUUGAAUGUAAUGAUGUUUGCUUGUGGAACCUCACUGAAAGAAUGAUUUUAUUGGGUGGAGGAUGUAGAUGAAGUCUACUUGGUUAGGAUUAGAUAUGAUCAUCUCUGGUUCAACAACAAAGAUACUGGUGAAUGACCACUAUAUAUUACUCCAUUGUGGCCUGCACCAUAAAAACGAUCACUACGAUCUACAUGAGGGGACCUCAAACCUUGCAGUUGCAAGGGUAUCAAUAAUGUGCUAUACUAGUCACUACGAAUUCUGCUUAAAUGAUUUUAGAAGCAAAACUGGUUUGUCCAAAAAAAUCUCCUUGGGACUAACCUAUUUAAGGUGGUCACUUAUCUGAUAUUUGUUUUUAUCUUUAAUAUAUGACCAUUUUAAGUUUUUAAGAUGCUCAUAAGUAGAAGUUGAUGAAUGUUUAAUAUGCUCAUAAGUAGAAGUUCAUGAAUAUCUUUGGUGGUAACACAAAUCACUUGAGUAGAUUUAGGAUUUGGGGAAUAAGUUUUAGAAUAUUUGAAUGGAAAGACUCUUAAUUUAGAAGACCAUGAGAUAGUUCCUUAUUCCUAGAAGAUUAGAAAGCUGAAGUUGGAGCAUUAGCUAUGAUUCACUGAGGAUCAGUAUUUGGAGAAUUCUUCAGCUGCAUUAGUUUCACCAACAUGGCUGCAGGUUAUGCAUUUCUCAUUGAGAAUGAAGUAUUGCAAGAAUCGACAAGAAUAGGGAUGUUAUAUUCAUCAAGAUAUCAAUCACUUUCUAUGGCUAAUAAGGAUUAAACAUAUGGUCUGAAUAUGUGGGGGCUGAAACUGUUGGAAGAAUUUUUAGAUAGAAUGAGAAUGAGGCCAUGAUAUGUCAUCUUUGUUGCAUUUCUUCAUGGUCAGGAAGCUCAAGGAAUUUGAUCAAUUCCUUAUUUGUGAUUGUUACAUUUCUGAGAGGUGAUGAAUAUUAAUCAACCCUCUUUUAGUAGGUCUGUGCAAUAGUCAUCUUAACAUCAUUAACCUCACUAAGAGAAGCCAUAUUCGAGUGUUGCUAGCACUGAACAAAAGACACUGGAGAAAGGGAACUAUGAAAUUACUCGAGAUAAUUUUCACUGUCCAACUUAACUUCUAUGUUUGAGGAUGCCUCAGAUUUGUUAUUUGAGUAAUGGCUUUUGGCACAUGAAGUUAAAGGUUUAUUGGUUGAUUCAUGAUUGACAUCUAUCCUAUUUACAUUGGAGGAUCAUUGGAAGUCCAAAAAAAGACUGAUUAGGCUCGUUAUAUAUGAGUCUUGUGAGAUCACCAAGUAGUCUUCAAUACAAUGUUAGUAUCAGUUACAUGGAAAGUCAAGAUCCAGAACAGAAGAUAGGUAUUUGGAAUUAGCAUUUUGGAAUAUUGUGGUUGCAUGAUCAGGGACCCUUAUCAGGUAGGAGUUGUCAAUACGAUGAUUCCUUAGUUGGUUCUCUUUCAGUGCAAAAGGUAUCUAUUAUGAGUUUGUAAAAAUCCACACCACCAGCACGCUUUGUGACAGUCUCAUCCAUCUUAACAUUUAUUGUACUGUUUGAAAUUUCAAUUGACAGCCAAAUAUUCAGUACCUGUGAGCAAUAACCUCACAUUUGAGUCUGAUUAAGGCAGCAGAGACAAGGAUGCACCAUUUAUCAUGAAUAUAUGUAAACUUAACUUUCAAGUAGACGGCAAAUUUUACUUAUUCAGCACAGAAGUCAGACACAACAAAUUUAUCCAUCUGCACUUUUUUCAUGCAUUUUCUGUUAUGAAUGUCAUUGAAUGAGUCAUCCUUCCAUUGAAAAAUUAAACAAUUGGAUUGAUCAAGUAUCUUAAAUUGAAGUUUGCAUAGAAGGGGAAGUUCCAUUCUGGCUCUGAUGUUGACCAUACACUUCAUGCUACUUUAAUUGAAGUCAGAUUCACCAACACAAAUGAGAAUGGCAAUACCAACCAUGAUGGGGAUUUUUAAUUGUUACUUACCUCUCAUUCUUAGGGCUCUUCCUAUUCCCAUCUUUUCAUUCCUUGCAAUCGAUAUGGUCUUUGUUUGAUAGUUUCUGGUAAUGAUUUACUUCUAUCUGUUUCUGGUAACCCAUGUAGUUAUUUAUUUUGAAGAAACUGCUUCAGGGAAUAAUAAAUCAUCAUAUACAAGGCGAAGGAAUUUCUUUUCUGUUUUCGUUAAAGAAGAGGCAUGAAUAUCAAAUAAUUUCUCUGUGUGAUUUCUGUAGGUGAGAUAUACUCCUGCAACAUCCUGUAAUACCUUGUUAUGUUAAUUUUGAUCCAUUUCGAGCCUUCUAACAGUCAUUUUUGUUACUUUUUCAUGUCCUGGUCCACUCAAAAUGUACUUGUGAUCUCCUUUUCACAUUCAAAGUAAAUUUUGUCAAGUAAUUGCAGUUUUGUACUGAUUCAGAAGAUAAUGCUGAUGCAUGGAGUUCUUUAAAUUCAGUGGGAAUUAUCAGAUUCCUAAUUUGUUGUUGGUUAACAUUCACAUUCCAUCGGUCUUCUGAUGAGUCCUGUGCUGUAGUUGGUGCUUCAACUUGUGCAUUUAGAGAAAGGAAUUAUGAUAGUUGCUUUCUAGAUUAAGGAUUGGCAUCACAAGUUUGCUGCUACAAAAUUUGGAACUUUGAAGUGGUAACACCCUUUUAGGGAAGGAUCCUGGAUAAGAGGAGCCCUUAUGUUGGAGUAUAUUGACUGAAAUAACCUUUUAUUAUUGAGAUUGGCAAUCAAGUACAUCAAAUCCUUGUGGAUACCCAAUUGCAAAUGUUCAUAUGAGAUUGGCAAUCAAGUACAUCAAAUCCAUCUUCAUGGCUUCCUGCAGAAUCAAUCAUUGGCUUAACAAUGCCUAUUGUCAUUUAUGGUACAGUCUGAUCAAUGAAAACUUGAUAACAGAGAUGUGGACUAAAUUUUGUUAAUCAGAACAAUCGAGAACAAGACAAUCAGAACUAUUUGUUCUUGAGUUUUAACUAUUAAGAUUCUCAAAUCAUAAGAUCUUUGUACAAGUAUUUUUGUUUGAGAGAUUCUCAAACCAUUACUAUUCAGAGUUCUA
Long non-coding RNA from Musa acuminata AAA Group (dessert banana), 3730 nucleotides. RefSeq lists it as uncharacterized. The record is from RefSeq and is a predicted model, not a curated record. The transcript has 3 exons. NCBI's taxonomy places the organism in Eukaryota, Viridiplantae, Streptophyta, Magnoliopsida, Zingiberales, Musaceae.